AACGAGUUAGUAUACUCAAUACCUUUAAUUUAGGCUUAAAAAAAAGAUAAUCUCUACUCGCUA
This 63-nucleotide transfer RNA is filed under the name Unio crassus. RNAcentral describes it as "tRNA-Leu". The record is from RNAcentral. Lineage: Eukaryota; Metazoa; Mollusca; Bivalvia; Unionida; Unionidae.